AACGAACGCUGGCGGCAUGCCUAACACAUGCAAGUCGAACGAGACCUUCGGGUCUAGUGGCGCACGUGUGCGUAACGCGUGGGAACCUGCCCUUAGGUUCGGAAUAACUCCCCGAAAGGGGUGCUAAUACCGGAUAAUGUCUUCGGACCAAAGAUUUAUCGCCUUUGGAUGGGCCCGCGUUGGAUUAGCUAGUUGGUAGGGUAAAAGCCUACCAAGGCGACGAUCCAUAGCUGGUCUGAGAGGAUGAUCAGCCACACUGGGACUGAGACACGGCCCAGACUCCUACGGGAGGCAGCAGUGGGGAAUAUUGGACAAUGGGCGAAAGCCUGAGCCAGCAAUGCCGCGUGAGUGAUGAAGGCCUUAGGGUUGUAAAGCUCUUUUAACCGGGAUGAUAAUGACAGUACCGGGAGAAUAAGCUCCGGCUAACUCCGUG
Molecule: ribosomal RNA, 433 nt
Filed under: uncultured bacterium
Lineage: Bacteria
Description: partial 16S ribosomal RNA
Rfam family: Bacterial small subunit ribosomal RNA
Source: RNAcentral